Long non-coding RNA from Cyprinus carpio (common carp), 1364 nucleotides. NCBI's taxonomy places the organism in Eukaryota, Metazoa, Chordata, Actinopteri, Cypriniformes, Cyprinidae. The record is from Ensembl.
GAGAUUUUUUGUCCCUCUAAAUCAGUCAGCAGUCACUCUCACAAAUCCUAAGACCUUCGCUCAGUCAGAGCAGAUCAAAAGAUAACUCACAUUUCGAAAUACGGAAAGGAAAAAAAAAGACAGAGAAGAAAGGAUAAGUGAGAAAAGAAGAGAGCCAGAAGGGGGCAUACUGCUCUCUCUUUACACUGGCGAAUAAGGUGUUUUAAGCAUACCAUGCGUCUCCUUCCUUCUAUCGUCUUGCACACAAUUUUUUCUAAAAAAAAACCCAGCAACUGUUAUUUUUAGUUUUAUUUCUCAGGGAGAUUUUAAUUUUCAACUGCACAUCAUAAAAUAACCAUUGAAUAAAACAGUACUUAAAGGUCCAUUCAUUAAUGGGGCAAAAUGAAAGGUCUGGAAUCUGGCUCCUAGGAUGUAUCGAGACCCCCUUGAAGUUGGAAUGAAAAGUGUAAGUUUAGCCUCUCAGCUGUGUGUCUCAAUCCAUAAUCCUGCCCCAAAAACCCCAGCGGAGACCAGCCUGACACUCCCAUGACGUUCCUGACCAGUGAAGGCCUGGCCUGUGCAGAUUUAUGGAGUGCCUUACUCUCCUAUUUGGGCUGAGACUUUGAGUCAGACUGCUAGAAGUUGCACAAGAUUAAGAAGAAAAUUAGAUCUGGUCUUUUCUGGUCCAGCAAGCUCCAAGCUACUCAUCAUAAACCAUCAAUUAUGCUGGAGAUGUAUAAAGAAAAUUGAUAAGGUCGGAGUUGCUACGCAAACACAGAUGAAGCGCAUCACCUUUCGCCAGCACGGCACAGGUGGCUAUCACAAAUACAGCAAAAUCAGCCACCACUCUCAGGUGCGCAACGUCCAGGGUGGAGCCGACGCCAUGUCAUGCUUCCCUCUGUUUGGCACAAACAAGUCUGAAGCACAGAGGCUGAGCUAACACAGCCCAGUUGCAGUGAGACAUGGUUAAGAUUCACAGUUCCAUCACUACAACCAGCAUGUUCCCAGCUUACCGUCAAGCGGGUGUGAAUUUAUGCAAAUAUAUGCUUCCCGUCUAUCAUCUUUUAGCAAAUUUAAUGGCCCAAUUUCUUAAACAUUAUCCUUUAAAAGAUAUAUUAGCAGGUUUGAGUGUGGUAUAAUGUUGGAAAAAACUUUCACAAUGCCACGAGACGUGCUUCUCUGGUUUUCUUAAAGGAAUGUUUCGGGUCCACUAUAAGUUAGGCUCAGUCGACCGCUUUUUUGGUAGGAUUAGUGCAAAAUUUGUAUGCAAUUAUUCCUCAUUUUCUGUACAGAGAAAAAUUCAAAUUGUGUUACAAGUGAAGCAUUAGUACAACUGAAGUGAAUGGGGCCAAUAUGUAAACAUGAAAAAAUAUCCACUGCUUUAA